RNAcentral lists this ribosomal RNA (396 nucleotides) under uncultured bacterium. Its description in RNAcentral is "bacterial SSU rRNA". It matches the Rfam family "Bacterial small subunit ribosomal RNA", at positions 29 to 429 of the family's 1533-position model. The record is from RNAcentral.
AUUGAACGCUGGCGGAAUGCUUUACACAUGCAAGUCGAGCGGCAGCGCGGGGGCAACCCUGGCGGCGAGCGGCGAACGGGUGAGUAACAUAUCGGAACGUACCCCGUCGUGGGGGAUAACACAGCGAAAGCUGUGCUAAUACCGCAUACGACCUGAGGGUGAAAGCGGGGGAUCGCAAGACCUCGCGCGAUGGGAGCGGCCGAUAUCGGAUUAGCUUGUUGGUGAGGUAAAGGCUCACCAAGGCGACGAUCCGUAGCUGGUCUGAGAGGACGACCAGCCACACUGGAACUGAGACACGGUCCAGACUCCUACGGGAGGCAGCAGUGGGGAAUAUUGGACAAUGGGCGCAAGCCUGAUCCAGCAAUGCCGCGUGUGUGAAGAAGGCCUCGGUGUAAG